RNAcentral lists this ribosomal RNA (703 nucleotides) under Enhydrobacter sp. M_Sw_HS_08/10_7_1(1). Its description in RNAcentral is "bacterial SSU rRNA". It matches the Rfam family "Bacterial small subunit ribosomal RNA", at positions 147 to 849 of the family's 1533-position model. Lineage: Bacteria; Pseudomonadati; Pseudomonadota; Alphaproteobacteria; Hyphomicrobiales. The record is from RNAcentral.
CUCGGGGAAACUCGAAUUAAUACCCGCAUACGACCUACGGGUGAAAGGGGGCGCAAGCUCUUGCUAUUAGAUGAGCCUAAAUCAGAUUAGCUAGUUGGUGGGGUAAAGGCCCACCAAGGCGACGAUCUGUAACUGGUCUGAGAGGAUGAUCAGUCACACCGGAACUGAGACACGGUCCGGACUCCUACGGGAGGCAGCAGUGGGGAAUAUUGGACAAUGGGGGCAACCCUGAUCCAGCCAUGCCGCGUGUGUGAAGAAGGCCUUUUGGUUGUAAAGCACUUUAAGCAGGGAGGAGAGGCUAAUGGUUAAUACCCAUUAGAUUAGACGUUACCUGCAGAAUAAGCACCGGCUAACUCUGUGCCAGCAGCCGCGGUAAUACAGAGGGUGCGAGCGUUAAUCGGAAUUACUGGGCGUAAAGCGAGUGUAGGUGGCUCAUUAAGUCACAUGUGAAAUCCCCGGGCUUAACCUGGGAACUGCAUGUGAUACUGGUGGUGCUAGAAUAUGUGAGAGGGAAGUAGAAUUCCAGGUGUAGCGGUGAAAUGCGUAGAGAUCUGGAGGAAUACCGAUGGCGAAGGCAGCUUCCUGGCAUAAUAUUGACACUGAGAUUCGAAAGCGUGGGUAGCAAACAGGAUUAGAUACCCUGGUAGUCCACGCCGUAAACGAUGUCUACUAGCCGUUGGGGUCCUUGAGACUUUAGUGGCGC